Rattus norvegicus (Norway rat) is the source of this 57-nucleotide non-coding RNA. The record is from Rfam. NCBI's taxonomy places the organism in Eukaryota, Metazoa, Chordata, Mammalia, Rodentia, Muridae.
UAGCUCAGUGGUAGAGCGCUUGCCUAGCAAGCACAAGGCCCUGGGUUCGGUCCCCAG